UGAGCAAUCUGCCCUUCUCUUUGGAAUAAGCGUUGGAAACGACGUCUAAUGCCGAAUACGACCUCCUUUCGCAUGAUCGGAGGUGGAAAGCUCCGGCGGAGAAGGAUGAGCUCGCGGCCUAUCAGCUAGUUGGUGUGGGUAAUGGCCCACCAAGGCGACGACGGGUAGCCGGCCUGAGAGGGUGACCGGCCACACUGGGACUGAGACACGGCCAGACUCCGUACGGGAGG
RNAcentral lists this ribosomal RNA (230 nucleotides) under uncultured bacterium. Its description in RNAcentral is "partial 16S ribosomal RNA". It matches the Rfam family "Bacterial small subunit ribosomal RNA", at positions 118 to 348 of the family's 1533-position model. The record is from RNAcentral.